This 310-nucleotide ribosomal RNA is filed under the name uncultured eukaryote. RNAcentral's name for it is "partial 18S ribosomal RNA". It matches the Rfam family "Eukaryotic small subunit ribosomal RNA", at positions 1470 to 1796 of the family's 1831-position model. The record is from RNAcentral.
CCCUUAGAUGUUCUGGGCUGCACGCGUGCUACACUGAUUACUUCAACAAGUGUUUUAACUGGAGAGUUUGCGUAAUCCUGAAAUGUUAUCGUGAUGGGAGUAGAGUAUUGUAUUUGUUAAUCUUUAACGAGGAAUUCCUAGUAAGUGUAGGUUUAUAAGUUGUUCUGAUUACGCCCCUGCCCUUUGUACACACCGCCCGUCGCUCCUACCGAUUGAUUGAUCCGGUGAAUUACAUAGAAUUUUGCGUUUUACAUGACGGAAGAUGAAGUGUUUUAAACCUUAUCAUUUAGAGGAAGGAGAAGUCGUAACA